RNAcentral lists this ribosomal RNA (479 nucleotides) under uncultured bacterium. Its description in RNAcentral is "partial 16S ribosomal RNA". It matches the Rfam family "Bacterial small subunit ribosomal RNA", at positions 28 to 507 of the family's 1533-position model. The record is from RNAcentral.
GAUGAACGCUGGCGGCGUGCUUAACACAUGCAAGUCGAACGAAGCACUUUAACCUGAUUCUUCGGAUGAAGGUUUUUGUGACUGAGUGGCGGACGGGUGAGUAACGCGUGGGUAACCUGCCUCAUACAGGGGGAUAACAGUUAGAAAUGACUGCUAAUACCGCAUAAGACCACAGAGCCGCAUGGCUCGGUGGGAAAGACUCCGGUGGUAUGAGAUGGACCCGCGUCUGAUUAGGUAGUUGGGGGGGUAACGGCAUACCAAGCCAACGAUCAGUAGCCGACCUGAGAGGGUGACCGGCCACAUUGGGACUGAGACACGGCCCAAACUCCUACGGGAGGCAGCAGUGGGGAAUAUUGCACAAUGGGGGAAACCCUGAUGCAGCGACGCCGCGUGAGCGAAGAAGUAUUUCGGUAUGUAAAGCUCUAUCAGCAGGGAAGAAAAUGACGGUACCUGACUAAGAAGCACCGGCUAAAUACGUG